UUUUUUUUUUUUUUUUUUUUUUUUUUUUUUAUAACCUCAGACGAACGCUGGCGGCGUGCCUAAUACAUGCAAGUCGAGCGGACAGAUGGGAGCUUGCUCCCUGAUGUUAGCGGCGGACGGGUGAGUAACACGUGGGUAACCUGCCUGUAAGACUGGGAUAACUCCGGGAAACCGGGGCUAAUACCGGAUGCUUGUUUGAACCGCAUGGUUCAAACAUAAAAGGUGGCUUCGGCUACCACUUACAGAUGGACCCGCGGCGCAUUAGCUAGUUGGUGAGGUAAUGGCUCACCAAGGCAACGAUGCGUAGCCGACCUGAGAGGGUGAUCGGCCACACUGGGACUGAGACACGGCCCAGACUCCUACGGGAGGCAGCAGUAGGGAAUCUUCCGCAAUGGACGAAAGUCUGACGGAGCAACGCCGCGUGAGUGAUGAAGGUUUUCGGAUUGUAAAGCUUUGUUGUUAGGGAAGAACAAGUACCGUUCGAAUAGGGCGGUACCUUGACGGUACCUAACCAGAAAGCCACGGCUAACUACGUGCCAGCAGCCGCGGUAAUACGUAGGUGGCAAGCGUUGUCCGGAAUUAUUGGGCGUAAAGGGCUCGCAGGCGGUUUCUUAAGUCUGAUGUGAAAGCCCCCGGCUCAACCGGGGAGGGUCAUUGGAAACUGGGGAACUUGAGUGCAGAAGAGGAGAGUGGAAUUCCACGUGUAGCGGUGAAAUGCGUAGAGAUGUGGAGGAACACCAGUGGCGAAGGCGACUCUCUGGUCUGUAACUGACGCUGAGGAGCGAAAGCGUGGGGAGCGAACAGGAUUAGAUACCCUGGUAGUCCACGCCGUAAACGAUGAGUGCUAAGUGUUAGGGGGUUUCCGCCCCUUAGUGCUGCAGCUAACGCAUUAAGCACUCCGCCUGGAGACGCCACGG
RNAcentral lists this ribosomal RNA (917 nucleotides) under Bacillus subtilis. Its description in RNAcentral is "bacterial SSU rRNA". It matches the Rfam family "Bacterial small subunit ribosomal RNA", at positions 1 to 887 of the family's 1533-position model. Lineage: Bacteria; Bacillati; Bacillota; Bacilli; Caryophanales; Bacillaceae. The record is from RNAcentral.